CCGGUCUCAUUCCGAACCCGGAAGCUAAGCCCUUCAGCGCCGAUGGUACUGCCCGCGUGAGUGGGUGGGAGAGUAGGACACCGCCGGAC
This 89-nucleotide ribosomal RNA is filed under the name Actinomycetota bacterium. The record is from RNAcentral. Lineage: Bacteria; Bacillati; Actinomycetota.